UCGGGAAUUUUGGGCAAUGGGGGAAACCCUGACCCAGCAACGCCGCGUGAAGGAUGAAGUAUUUCGGUAUGUAAACUUCGAAAGAAUAGGAAGAAUAAAUGACGGUACUAUUUAUAAGGUCCGGCUAACUACGUGCCAGCAGCCGCGGUAAUACGUAGGGACCAAGCGUUGUUCGGAUUUACUGGGCGUAAAGGGCGCGUAGGCGGCAAUUCAAGUCAUCUGUGAAAUCUCCGGGCUUAACUCGGAACGGUCAGAUGAUACUGCUUUGCUAGAGUGCAGAAGGGGCAAUCGGAAUUCUUGGUGUAGCGGUGAAAUGCGUAGAUAUCGGAAGGAACAUCGGUGGCGAAGGCGUCUACCUGGCCUAAUACUGACACUGAGGCACGAAAGCGUGGGGAGCAAACAGGAUUAGAUACCCCCGUAGUCCCUGAGCGGGCUGGCAAGGC
Molecule: ribosomal RNA, 443 nt
Filed under: uncultured bacterium
Lineage: Bacteria
Description: bacterial SSU rRNA
Rfam family: Bacterial small subunit ribosomal RNA
Source: RNAcentral